RNAcentral lists this ribosomal RNA (402 nucleotides) under Bacteroidota bacterium. RNAcentral's name for it is "Bacteroidetes bacterium partial 16S ribosomal RNA". It matches the Rfam family "Bacterial small subunit ribosomal RNA", at positions 355 to 776 of the family's 1533-position model. The record is from RNAcentral. Lineage: Bacteria; Pseudomonadati; Bacteroidota.
UGGGGAAUUUCGCACAAUGGGGGAAACCCUGAUGCAGCGACGCCGCGUGAUUUAGAAGGCCUUCGGGUUGUAAAAAUCUUUUCUAUGGGAAGAAAAUGACAGUACCAUAGGAAUAAGGACCGGCUAAUUACGUGCCAGCAGCCGCGGUAAUACGUAAGGUCCGAGCGUUGUCCGGAAUCAUGGGGCGUAAAGGGUACGUAGGCGGGUAAGCAAGUUAGAAGUGAAAUCCUGUAGCUCAACUACAGUAAGCUUUUAAAACUGCUCAUCUUGAGAUAUGGAAGGGAGAGUGGAAUUCCUAGUGUAGCGGUGAAAUGCGCAGAUAUUAGGGGGAAUACCGGUGGCGAAGGCGACUUUCUGGCCAUAAUCUGACGCUGAGGUACGAAAGCGUGGGUAGCAAACAGG